This is a long non-coding RNA of Elgaria multicarinata webbii, 432 nucleotides long. RefSeq lists it as uncharacterized. NCBI's taxonomy places the organism in Eukaryota, Metazoa, Chordata, Lepidosauria, Squamata, Anguidae. The record is from RefSeq and is a predicted model, not a curated record. The transcript is spliced from 3 exons.
CAGUUCCCCGAACAGGCAGCACCGCUCUCAGACUCUCCAGGCAGAAAAGCAAGGCACCGAGAAGGAAGUUUCAGAGAACUACUAGAGGACAAUGUCUGGGCCAGAUAAUGUGAUUGAGAUGCCUGCCCUGGGCCGCCCAUUCCAGCUGGGGAUGCUGUACGACUGCUAUAAGGAUGCUCUUCUCUCAGAAUAUUCAUUAUUUGAUCCAGAGAUACAUCAGAAGAACACAGGCAAAAAAAUACAAAUCAGCAAUAUAAUGGACAAUAUUUCGUCUAACACAAUUGGAGAGAAGGCUGUUGCUCUGGCUAUCAGACCAUCCCUGCUGACCAGCCUCCUCUGUGGCUUGUUUGAAGUGAACGGAUCUGCAAAAUAUCUGCUCAGCACCAAGAAAUCCAGACACCAGGACAGCACUACGUACAGGUACUUGGCUAU